UUUCAUAAAUCAAUUUGAUUGAUAGUGAACCACAUCAAGUUCCACUCUCUCUCGCUCUCUCUCUCUCUCUCGCUCUCUAGUGAACCAUGGGAAGUUUCCUAAGCAGGAGGACUCGUAUGUGUUCGAGGAGGACAGCAGCAGUGGCAGUCUGUCUCCAGAGCAACACCACAGUGAUGAGUCACAGGGGUCCGCAUGCCUAAGUGCAGCACCAGCCCUCAAUAGCCCUAAACCGGUUGCUCUGGAAUUCAUGAGACUGGUAUCUGUGGACCUCAAGAAGAUAUUCUUUCCAAGCUCCUUGAAUUCUACCGGGCCAAGAGCGAUGGAGGGAUGGAGCUAAAACAGCUUAUGGAAAGUCUUGACAAAGACAUAGGUUCCAUUCUAUUCACAUUAAAGUAUUUUGUACAUUUAUUACCUAUGUUUUGCUGUAUUGAUAAUUGCUACUUUUUUAAAUACACAUCAAUAUUGGGGGUGAGACCUUAAUAUUGACAACUACAUUUAACAAUGUUGUAAAACAGUCAAUUAGGCUUUUUAUGUUAGAGUUCCAAUCAAAGGAAGAGAGAGGCUGUGCUCCGAGGAUUGCCAUACUUCCUGCAAGAAGACCCUACCAAUUUUUUUUAAAGAUGUGAGGCAUACAACCCUACAACAUAACCUUAUGCUUUCUCCCAGGAGUGAAAUUUCCUAUGAAUCGUGAUGCAUUGUAACGUUCAAUGGGGUCAAGAUGAAUGUCUGUCACCAUCUGUAGUGAUUGUAGCACACAGGCCAAAUCAAAUGUGAACCAACUACAGUAUAUAAGGGCAUCUCUUUUAACAAUGUUUUAGAUGUUUUACUUUUACUCCCUUUCUAGACAUUCAAUUGAGAAUAGUGAUUUAGCAUGCUUUUUGUCCAGAAGAAACUAAGUCUUUAUCUUGGACAACUUCAUCUUGGACUGCAAAGCAAAAAUCAGGACCAUACAUUAAACCCAAUACUAGGUUUGGGCGAUAAUACCUAACUACCAUGUAAACUACUAUUGAUAGCUGUUGUCGACGGCUUUGAAAUGUAAGUAUGCGCAGGUUUUUGGAUAUUUUAAUGUAUCACACAUCCCUGGUGUAUGGCAGCACACAAUACUGCUGUGCCCUUAGUGAUAUGUCAAAUUCCCCCUUAGACAAUUAACAGAAUUAAAGUGGCACUGUGAGGAAUUCCAAAUUCUAUACCAAAGCUGUACAAAUAUUUAUUAUUGAUGGGACAAUCCGUCCCUACACCAUGCAGUGCUGAUUUUGCCAUCUGAACAGGAAUUGCAAUCAGUUUUGCUUCAACAUUGUUUGUCAGUGGGCUCGCUCCGGUCCGUCUUCAAUAUAAACUUAGCAUUUUAGGCUAUACUUUUGUGUAACAAACUAAUUACUUAUUGUAGGGAAUCAUUGUCCUAUUUUUUACAUUUCUAGAGAUAUAGUUUUGCAGCUUUUGUAAGCUGGUCAUUUUAAAAAGAAAGUAGAUGUGGAAUUCUACACAGUGCACCUCUAAUAUAAUGAAUGUUGUAGAUUGCCAAAACAGCACUGAAUGAUAGAUGAUGCUUUACAUGGUUUUCCCCCUUAGGGUAGCCUAGUGGUUAGAGUGUUGGACUAGUAACCGGAAGUUCAAACCCCCGAGCUGACAAGGUACAAACCUGUCAUUCUGCCCCUGAACAGGCAGUUAGCCCACUGCUCCUAGGCCGUCAAUAAAAAUAAGAAUUUGUUCUUAACUGACUUACCUAGUUAAAUAAAGGUAAAAUGUUUUUAAAAAAUCAGUGUUGGAUGAACGUAGGCCUUUGCGGCGCUAUAGCAACAAUCAUUUUUAGCAAAUUGGAAAAUAACAGACAUGUUUUACCUCAACCUAAGAACACAUUAUUUCUAGACCUGGGAGCAAUCAUGGUUAACUGACGUGCUUGAGGACCAUGCUUGUUUACUGGCGCAACGCUCUUGACCACUAGGCUACCUGCCACCCCACUUGCCUGCAUCAAUAUGCAACAGUACAUUUGCUGACAUUUUCACAGAAAGAAAAUGUAUUGUAGGAUGUUUUGUAGGGCAAUGCCUUUAUUCUUUGCCUCUUUUUUGUUCUGUUUUUCAGAAGACAACUGAUUCUGAGGAAGUCACCCAUGGAGUGAAAAUACACUUGUCGUUGUGGAUG
This 2139-nucleotide long non-coding RNA is filed under the name Oncorhynchus kisutch (coho salmon). RNAcentral's name for it is "lncRNA (ENSOKIG00005038708.1)". Lineage: Eukaryota; Metazoa; Chordata; Actinopteri; Salmoniformes; Salmonidae. The record is from RNAcentral.